This 216-nucleotide ribosomal RNA is filed under the name uncultured bacterium. Its description in RNAcentral is "partial 16S ribosomal RNA". It matches the Rfam family "Bacterial small subunit ribosomal RNA", at positions 1285 to 1500 of the family's 1533-position model. The record is from RNAcentral.
UACUCAGUUCGGAUUGUAGGCUGCAACCCGCCUACAUGAAGUCGGAAUUGCUAGUAAUCGUGGAUCAGCAUGCCACGGUGAAUACGUUCCCGGGCCUUGUACACACCGCCCGUCAAACCAUGAGAGUUGGCAACACCCGAAGCCUGUAGCUUAACCGCAAGGAUGGCGCAGUCGAAGGUGGGGUCGAUGAUUAGGGUUAAGUCGUAACAAGGUAUC